CCUGUCUUCCUUCCUCUCACAUGUCAGUUCCUGGCACAGACUGUGUAGAAGAGUGAGUCUGACUAGCUCUCCUACUUGAGGAUCUGUCUCUGAGUCCACAUUGUGGGAGAAGAGACCAUUCUUCGGAAAGACGCAGAGGAAGUCCCCCACCUCAAGGGAUCGAGAUGGGAGACUGAGGGAAUCCUGGCGUCUCUACCUUCUCCCUCACUGAGAAACAAGCUCUGUUUCUUCAUGUGCCGGAGCCCUGCCUCUGUGGGUGCAGCCUGAGGACAAAGGCAGUGCUGCAUCCCCUGAUCCCCUGCCCCUGUGGGUGCAGCCUGAGGACAAAGGCAAUGCUGCAUUCCCUGAUCCCCUGCCCCCUACAACCUCCUGCCCAGCCUCUCGGGUGCUCCUCAGCUUGUCAUCAGGGAGGAAGCAGCCAUCUCCUCCGAUGACUGACUUCAAGCCUCAACUCUCCCGCAGCUCCUCAAAAGCCAAGACUGAGGCCAAGUCCUAGCUGCUGCCUUGGGACAGGUCAAGGGCCUCAUGCACAAGCUGGUACCCAUGAGCAUGUGGCCUAAGAGAUUUAUUGACCCACUCUCCAAGUCCUUGCCAGAGGAAUCCUGCACACCUAUAUCCACAAUGAAGGGAGCCAUAUCCCCAGCUGGGUAGCCAUAUCCCUAAUGAUAUCACUUAUGAAAGGUGACAAGUCCUUUCUACCACUCUUAUUUAAGUGAAAAUAUAUAGUCAAUUAUGGUC
Symphalangus syndactylus (siamang) is the source of this 738-nucleotide long non-coding RNA. RefSeq lists it as uncharacterized. The record is from RefSeq and is a predicted model, not a curated record. Lineage: Eukaryota; Metazoa; Chordata; Mammalia; Primates; Hylobatidae.